UGGUUCUGGCAUCGAUGAAGAACGCAGCAAAAUGCGAUAAGUAAUGUGAAUUGCAGAAUUCAGUGAAUCAUCGAAUCUUUGAACGCACAUUGCGCCCGCCAGUAUUCUGGCGGGCAUGCCUGUUCGAGCGUCAUUUCAACCCUCAAGCCCAGCUUGGUGUUGGGAUCUGCGUUGAUUCGCAGUCCCCAAAUUGAUUGGCGGUCACGUCGAGCUUCCAUAGCGUAGUAAUUUUACACCUCGUUACUGGUAAUCGUCGCGGCCACGCCGUUAAACCCCAACUUCUGAAUGUUGACCUCGGAUCAGGUAGGAAUACCCGCUGA
RNAcentral lists this unclassified non-coding RNA (320 nucleotides) under uncultured fungus. RNAcentral's name for it is "partial contains 5.8S ribosomal RNA and internal transcribed spacer 2". The stretch from base 1 to 133 matches the Rfam family "5.8S ribosomal RNA", at positions 22 to 154 of the family's 154-position model. Lineage: Eukaryota; Fungi. The record is from RNAcentral.